CCUACGGGGGGCAGCAGUGAGGAAUAUUGGUCAAUGGACGAGAGUCUGAACCAGUCAAGUAGCGUGAAGGAUGACUGCCCUAUGGGUUGUAAACUUCUUUUAUAUGGGAAUAAAAUGUUCCACGUGUGGGAUUUUGUAUGUACCAUAUGAAUAAGGAUCGGCUAACUCCGUGCCAGCAGCCGCGGUAAUACGGAGGAUCCGAGCGUUAUCCGGAUUUAUUGGGUUUAAAGGGAGCGUAGGUGGAUUGUUAAGUCAGUUGUGAAAGUUUGCGGCUCAACCGUAAAAUUGCAGUUGAAACUGGCAGUCUUGAGUACAGUAGAGGUGGGCGGAAUUCGUGGUGUAGCGGUGAAAUGCUUAGAUAUCACGAAGAACUCCGAUUGCGAAGGCAGUUCACUGGACUGCAACUGACACUGAGGCUCGAAAGUGUGGGUAUCAAACAGGAUUAGAUACCCCUGUAGUC
Molecule: ribosomal RNA, 460 nt
Filed under: uncultured bacterium
Lineage: Bacteria
Description: partial 16S ribosomal RNA
Rfam family: Bacterial small subunit ribosomal RNA
Source: RNAcentral